UGUCCAGUAACUCCUAUCCCUACCUUCCCGUGGUGCCGCCUGGGGUACGAGUAACCGUAGGGAAGCUCGGGUAACCAACCCUGGUGGGUCCUUGGUCGUAUGCUGACAGGGAAGG
Molecule: non-coding RNA, 115 nt
Organism: Aedes aegypti (yellow fever mosquito)
Lineage: Eukaryota; Metazoa; Arthropoda; Insecta; Diptera; Culicidae
Source: Rfam